RNAcentral lists this ribosomal RNA (469 nucleotides) under uncultured bacterium. RNAcentral describes it as "partial 16S ribosomal RNA". It matches the Rfam family "Bacterial small subunit ribosomal RNA", at positions 28 to 507 of the family's 1533-position model. The record is from RNAcentral.
GACGAACGCUGGCGGCGUGCUUAACACAUGCAAGUCGAACGGAAAGGCCCUGCUUUUGUGGGGUGCUCGAGUGGCGAACGGGUGAGUAACACGUGAGUAACCUGCCCUUGACUUUGGGAUAACUUCAGGAAACUGGGGCUAAUACCGGAUAGGAGCUCCUGCUGCAUGGUGGGGGUUGGAAAGUUUCGGCGGUUGGGGAUGGACUCGCGGCUUAUCAGCUUGUUGGUGGGGUAGUGGCUUACCAAGGCUUUGACGGGUAGCCGGCCUGAGAGGGUGACCGGCCACAUUGGGACUGAGAUACGGCCCCAGACUCCUACGGGAGGCAGCAGUGGGGAAUAUUGCACAAUGGGCGGAAGCCUGAUGCAGCAACGCCGCGUGCGGGAUGACGGCCUUCGGGUUGUAAACCGCUUUCGCCUGUGACGAAGCGUGAGUGACGGUAAUGGGUAAAGAAGCACCGGCUAACUACGUG